Leopardus geoffroyi (Geoffroy's cat) is the source of this 720-nucleotide long non-coding RNA. RefSeq lists it as uncharacterized. NCBI's taxonomy places the organism in Eukaryota, Metazoa, Chordata, Mammalia, Carnivora, Felidae. The transcript is spliced from 3 exons. The record is from RefSeq and is a predicted model, not a curated record.
AUUUCACUGGAGUCCUGGGAGUUAUGCAAUGCCCUUAGACCCUGGGGAGUGUGUCCCUUCUUCUUAUUGUGAUUAUUUUAAUCGUCCGUUUUGGCCUUUGGCCUUUACUUUGCUUUCCUGAGGAAAAGAUUGAAACAACAACAACAACAACAAAAAAACACACAAAAAAACCCAAAGCUGAGCAAGAAUGAGGGCUAGGAGCCUGCAUCCUCAACACCGACAUAGACGCAGGAACAGAGGACAGAAUAUUGUCAGGUUGUGAAAGCAUGUCGGUUGGUGGCUGCUAAAGCUUGUCUGGUACAGUAUCAGUUUUUCUAGGAAGUCUCCAAUGCAGAAAGGAAACAAUGCCUACCCUUCUGAGGCCGGAGGAACUGUUACCUUAAAGGAGAACGCAUCAUUUGGCCCAGUUGGGGAAAAAUUACCAUGAAAAGAGGACAAACGGAAACAAUUCUCAGGAUUUUGUUGAGCAAAUUCCCAAAUUUGGCCUACAUUCCCACGUAAGGACCUUUGUAGAGCCACGUUUCUCUUUCAAAGCUUUCUUUUGUAUUUUUUUUUCCCAUUGAGGAAUAAACUACAAAGUGGACUUCUGUGUUUCACUUUUUGGGUUAAACUAGCACAAGCAAAAAGCGACCAGUUUUCCUGAGGUAUAACACCGUCUGCAGGGAAACAAGUCACGUGCAGCCCGUGGUAUUUAAAGUGAUCUUUUCCGGGCAGGAUGUA